RNAcentral lists this ribosomal RNA (457 nucleotides) under uncultured eukaryote. RNAcentral's name for it is "bacterial SSU rRNA". It matches the Rfam family "Eukaryotic small subunit ribosomal RNA", at positions 626 to 1053 of the family's 1831-position model. The record is from RNAcentral.
CGAUUCUGUUCUUAAUUGAAUGGAGUAGCUAUCUCUCGGGGUGGUCAAUUGGUUGUUAUAUCUCCACUAAUGAGCGGAGAGGGGUAAAACCUUCAAAGUAAGUUAUGUGGGUCAAGGUAUAAUGAUUAAUUGGAGUUCUAGUUCAUUUACUUUGAGAAAAUUAGAGUGUUUAAAGCAGCCUCUUGGGGGCACUGAAUACAUUAGCAUGGGAUAAUAAAAUAGGAUCUUCACAAUAUAUUUUAUUGGUUUAAAUUGCGUAUGAAGAUAAUGAUUAAUAGGGACAGUUGGGGGUAUUCAUAUUGGGUGGUUAGCGGUGAAAUGCUCGGAUCCAUUCAAGAUGAACUAAAGCGAAGGCAUUUACCAAGGAUGUUUUCAUUAAUCAAGAACGAAAGUUAAGGGGAUCGAAGACGAUUAGAUACCGUCGUAGUCUUAACUAUAAACUAUGCCGACCAGGGAU